Molecule: ribosomal RNA, 253 nt
Filed under: uncultured bacterium
Lineage: Bacteria
Description: partial 16S ribosomal RNA
Rfam family: Bacterial small subunit ribosomal RNA
Source: RNAcentral
UACGUAGGGGGCAAGCGUUGUCCGGAUUUACUGGGCGUAAAGAGCGCGUAGGCGGAGAUCUAAGCGUGGCCUGAAAGCCCCCGGCUCAACCGGGGAGUGCGGCUGCGAACUGGGUUUCUUGAGGACGAUAGAGGAGAGUGGAAUUCCUGGUGUAGCGGUGAAAUGCGUAGAUAUCAGGAGGAACACCGAUGGCGAAGGCAGGUCUCUGGGCCACUACUGACGCUGAGAAGCGAAAGCAUGGGGAGCGAACAGG